AACGAACGCUGGCGGCAUGCCUAACACAUGCAAGUCGAACGAGACCUUCGGGUCUAGUGGCGCACGGGUGCGUAACGCGUGGUAACCUGCCCUUAGGUUCGGAAUAACUCCCCGAAAGGGGUGCUAAUACCGGUUAAUGUCUUCGGACCAAAGAUUUAUCGCCUUUGGAUGGGCCCGCGUUGGAUUAGCUAGUUGGUAGGGUAAAAGCCUACCAAGGCGACGAUCCAUAGCUGGUCUGAGAGGAUGAUCAGCCACACUGGGACUGAGACACGGCCCAGACUCCUACGGGAGGCAGCAGUGGGGAAUAUUGGACAAGGGGCGAAGGCCUGAUCCAGCAAUGCCGGGUGAGAGAGGAAGGCCUUAGGGUUGUAAAGCUCUUUUACCCGGGAUGAUAAUGACAGUACCGGGAGAAGAAGCACCGGCUAACUCCGUG
Molecule: ribosomal RNA, 433 nt
Filed under: uncultured bacterium
Lineage: Bacteria
Description: partial 16S ribosomal RNA
Rfam family: Bacterial small subunit ribosomal RNA
Source: RNAcentral